CUCCCUGCUCGGUGGGAAGCCUGCUUCUCCCUCCCCCACUCCCCCUGCUUGUGUUCCCUCUCUCGCUGUGUCUCUCUCUGUCAAAUAAAUAAAUAAAAUCUUUAAAAAAAAAACCAACAACAACAACAAAAAACAAAUAAAAUGCUUGCCAGGGAGGGAAACUCUGGUGCUGAAUUCUAGAGUGGGAAAUGGAUCAUGAUGGCAAGGCUCUCGUAAGGAGAGUUAACGCAGGAAGGGGCUGGGAUGGUGAGAGCAACUGGAGCUUGGGAGAGCCCCUUAAAAGCAGUUGCUUUUGCCUGGCACUGAAGGAAGAGAGAAGAACUUGCUGUGCAGAAAAGCCCAAGGCCUGAGAGAUAGAGGAGCAGACCCUGCUGGCAGGCCACUCCUUUCCCUUGGGGAGGCAGUAUGGCUCAAGGGGUCUGGGACUUGAGUUUGGCCACAGUUGGCUUCCCCUUGAAGUUCAGCCCAGCCCUGGUCUGGCUCUGUGCCCCGGUACCCUAGGGUGCUCUUUGGCAAAAUGGGGAUAAUGGUAUAUUUGAAGGUUACUGAAUUAACAUUUUGGCUGAAUAGACUGCAUUUUUAAACCAGGAUUUGCACAAGACUAAAACUAAAUGCAUCAUAGAAUGAAUUUCUGGGAUAUAAAAAGAAAUGAGUAAUGUCAUCCAGAUAAUUUAUAGUAUUAUUACAACUUUAUUAAGAUGUUUAGCGGCCAAAAAUUUUAACCAGUAUCUUAAUAAGUGGAUGUUUUCUUGCAGUAUUUGAAAAUAUCUUUAUAGGAAAUGGUUAAAUGGUAUAGUCACAGGAGGACCAGAAAUGCUUCAACAAAAGUAAUUAGCAUAUCAACUUUCAGUUCUUAGUGCAGAUUUUGAAUUUAUAUGCUUAUCAAUUACCUUUGGAAAGAGUUACAUAUCACUGUAACAGAAUUGCCAGUUUGUGUGAAUUCUUAAUCAAAUAGCUCUCAACAGAAUGAUAUAUGUACUGUUAGUUCAUAUAUAUGGAAUAUAUAUGUUAAUUUUAACUUUUUACUUUGAGAUAUUUUCAGACCUAGAGAAAGUACAAAAUAGUACAAAGAAUUCCCACGUAUUUUCCUCUAGAUUUCCCCAAACGUUAGUAUUUGCUGUAUUUUCUUUAUCUUUCUGUUUUUCCAUAACUUUUUUUCUGAGCCAUUUGAGAGUAAGUUGCAAAUACAGUGCUCCCUUACUCCUAGGUAACUUCACGCGUAUGUCCUAACACCAAAGACAAUAACCACAAUGUGGUUAUCAAAUCAGGAAAUUAACAUAGACCUAUUGUCUCAUCUAUAGACCUUAUUCAGAUGUUGCUACUUGUCUUUAAACUGUCUUUUGGAGCCAAAGAAACAUUUAAAAGAAUUUGGGGGGCGCCUGGCUGGCUCAGUCCAUGGAGCAUUUGACUCUUGAUCUCGGGGUUGUGAAUUCAAGCCCUACAUUGGAUGUAGAGAUUACUUAAUAAAAUCUUCAAAAAAAACCCCCCAAAACAAAAACGAAUUUGGGGGAGGUGUCCAGGAUGAGCCAAGGUCAUGUGUUACACUUGGUUGUAUCUGUUUAGUGUCCUUCAGUCUAUAACAGAUCUUUUGUCUUGUGUCUUUUACAUUCUUUUGAAGAUUACAGGCACUUAUUGCGUAGAAGGACCUUGAAUUCUGCUUUUUUUUUUUUUUUUUUUCAGAUGUUUCUUCAUGAAUAGAUUCAGGUUCUAUAUUUUAGGCAUGAAAACUACGUAGUUGCUACUGUGUCCUUCUCUGCUUCUCAUGAGGCACCAUCUAUUUUUCCUGCUACAGUUGAUGUUAAUUUUGAUCACUUGGUAAAAAUGAUGUCUGCCAGGGUUCUCCAAGGAAGUUACUAUUUUUUCUCUUUGUAGUUAAUAAGUGUCUUGUUGGAAGAUACUUUGUGACUAUGUAAAUAACCCGUUUCUCAUCAAAUUUUCAUCCAUUGUUUAGUAUCCAUUGAUGUUUCUUGCCAAAACAAUUAUUACUUUGUAGUGGCCAAAUUGAUGGUCACAUUUUGAAAGUUUGACAUUGUAGUGGAAGAAUGAUAAUUUUACAACUCUAUAAAUGCCUAGAUUGUUUCUGUGAUGCUCUACUGCAUAUUUGUGAAUACUAAGUGAGAUGAAGGAACAAGAUCUUUUUGGUCCAUGGGGGACCAAAAAAAAUGAGUGUUGGGGUUUUUUUUUUUUUUAUGACAGUUUCUUAUUUUCAUAGUUUUCAUCAUCUUUAUUAUGCCUGGAUCAUAGGUGAUUUAUCAUGAAAGUGUGGUACAUGAUUUUGAAAUCUUGUGAAAUAUUGAGGUAGCAAAGUUGACAUUCUGCUCUGCACUCUUCAUAGGAUGUAAAUAACUUCCUAAUUAGGUUUUUAGGUUUUUAUCUGAUGACUCCUGUGGAGUUCCUCACAGACUGGAUUUUGUUAAAUGCAACCCUGUGAUGUCCUGUAACAUGUUUUUGUCCGUUGUAGUUCCUGAAAAUUGUUAGCUGGAUUUAGAUUCUUUUCUUUUUUCUUUUUUUUUUUUAAUUUGAAAAUCUAUUUGGCUUUAUUAAGUGAUUUAUGAUUCAGGCAGCAUCCCAUCCAGCAAGUAGGGGAGUUCCCUGGAUUUAGAUUCUUGAUCAAGCUUCAGGGUUCUCUCUCUUUUUCUCUCUCCUUUUUAAUUUAUUUUUAAAAGUCUCUUUCAUAAAUGGUGUCUUUAUAUUAUGAAACACUUAAGGUCUGGUUGUCUGUGAAAUUAGCAGCCACCAAUGAUCAUCACUCACAUCCAUUACUUCAUUAGCAGUUUCAAAAUGGUGAUAGUCUAUUUGUGUCAUGCCUUCUUCAUCUAUCAGCUAUACUGUUUUUUUUUAAAGAUACAUUUAUUUAUUUAUUUUUAAGAUUUUAUUUAUUUAUUUGAGAGAGAGAGAUUGAGAGAGAGCACAUGAGAGGGGGGAGGGUCAGAGGGAGAAGCAGACUCCCUGCCGAGCAGGGAGCCCGAUGCAGGACUCGAUCCCGGGACUCCAGGAUCAUGACCUGAGCCGAAGGCAGUCGCUUAACCAACUGAGCCAUCCAGGCACCCCUGCUACUUAUUUUUAUAAAGUUUCAUUAGAACACAGCCAGGCUCAUUCGUUUGCAUAUUGCCUCUGGACGCUUUUGCAAUACAAGGGCUGAGGUGAGUAGGUGCCAUUGAGUCUAUAUUUGGCCCACAGAACUGAAAAGAUAUGGCCCAGUACAAAAAAGGUGUGCUGACCCCUGUAGAUCAUAUGGGGAAAGCAAUUUAAAUGCUUGAUUCUUUCCCUUUAUUUACUAGUUUUCCGUUUGGUUUCUUAUAACCUGCAAAGGUGACCAAUGAAAUUAUGUUUUAAAAUAUGAACUCAGGGAUUUCAACCUAUUUCCUGUGUUUCAAUCCAUUUGUGAGUAUUAUUCUUAUUGAUACUCCAAUUGUUUCAUCUUUAGCUGGUGGAAGCCUCUUCCCAUUGGCUCCUGAGUCCUUUUGACACAAUCCCAGUGGUCUUUGAUGCUUCCUUGCUUACUGUUAUGGGAGGACAUUCCAGACUCAUCUUGUGCUUUUCCCCCUUCCAGAUCAGCUAUUUCUAGAAGGAGCUCUGAUUCCUUUUAGUGAAAUAUGUUAUUUAGAGACCAUAGUCUGCUAAGGGUGCAUAUAUAGUUUCUAAAGGUUAUUCCAUUUAAUGUUAUGAGCACACCACGCAAUCAUAUAGAGUUUAGAAGUAGAAUAUAGUAUGCCUAUUACAACUUAAAAAUAUUGAGAAACACUUGCUCAAAAAGUAUAUGCUAUUGGGCGCCUGGGUGGCUCAGUUGGUUGAGCGACUGCCUUCGGCUCAGGUCAUGAUCCUGGAGUCCCAGGAUUGAGUCCCACAUCGGGCUCCCUGCUCAGCAGGGAGUCUGCUUCUCCCUCUGAUCCUCCCCCCUCUCAUGUGCUCUCUCUCUCUCUCUCUCUCUCAUUCUCUCUCUCAAAUAAAUAAAUAAAAUCUUAAAAAAAAAAAGUAUAUGCUGUUCUUUUUAAAUGUACUCUUAAUAUUAGUAAUGCAGUUAACUAAUCCUAUUUAAGAACUGUAGUUGUACAUUGUAAUUGUUUUCUAUGUAAGAUUAAUGUUUCAUGCUUAUAUUGUAUUCUUCCAAAAAAAAAUAACAUACUUCUGCCACUGAUAACAUUUCUAGAGAUAAAGCUCACAAGGAUAUUUCCAUUAAACUUUACAUGUAGAAUGUUUCCCUGGGGACAUCUGGGUGGCUCAGUCGGUUAAGCAUCUACCUUUGGCUCAGGUCAUGAUCCCAGGGUCUUGGGAUCAAGUUCCGCAUUGGUUCCUUGCUCAGCGGGGAGCCUGCUUCUCCCUCUGCCUGCCACACCCCCUGCUUAUGCUCUUGCGCUCUCUUGCUCUCUCUCUCUGACAAAUAAAUAAAAUCUUUAAAGAAAAAAAAAAGAAUGCUUCCCUGUUUCUGAAGCGGCAUGUUCAGAUAAUGAUGAUGAAUUCAAACAUGCUUCAUUUCCUUAUUUCUCACAUUGUUACAUUAAUUAAAUAUGUUGGUCACCCCUGUGACCACAUGAUUAUUGACCAGGCAGAAAUUCAGGCCUGAAGAUUGAAGCUGAAGCUGAAUAACAGAUGUCGAUUGAAUGCUGAGGCCAAGGCCAUAUUCUGAUAUAUUCCUAGGACCUACCUCAUAGUUGCAAAGAUGAAAUAAGGUUGUACACAAGCAUGAAGAACAUUGUCUGGUACAGUAAGGGCUUUGUUAAGGUAAACUCAUUAUCAGCAUCAGCAGUCCUGGGUUUUCCGGUCCUCCCUAGCCCCUGUAAAAUUUAGUCUUUAUACUGUACCAUUCCCUGGGCACUUAAUGAUACUCACUCAGUUUUGGAUUGCUACUUUUCUAGAAUCCAUGUUCUUAAGGACCCUGGCUGUCAACUGUCCCUUUUGAUCACUGUCACCCCUAGCACAGUACUUUAUACACAAAAUCUGCACAUGUGUAUUUGUUAUUUAUUUAUAUUUCCUUCUUUAUGCAUCAUAUAUAAGAAAAUAAACAGCGGGCGCCUGGGUGGCUCAGAUGGUUAAGUGUCUGCCUUCGGCUCAGGUCAUGAUCCCAGGGUCCUGGGAUCGAGUCCGACAUCAGGCUCCCUGCUCCUUGGGAGCCUGCUUCUCCCUCUGCCUCUCUCUCUCUCUCUCUCUGUCUCUGUCUCUCAUGAAUAAAUAAAUAAAAUCUUUAAAAGAAAAGAAACAGCAAAAUUCGUCUUCCUCAUGGACGUUGUAGGCUAACAAGGGCGAUCAUUGUUCACUUCUGGUAUCUUUCAGGGUAUAAUCUUUGAUAACUUGAUCAUUGGUGGUUGAUCAUUUUUAUUUUACUUUUUUGAAGGUUUUCUCAAUUUAUCUCAGUAUUGAGGCUGUGCAUACAUCUUUUUUGGGGUGGGGAGGGGCGAAGGGAGAGAGAAGAGAGAGAAUCUUAAGCAGGUUCCACACCCAGCACCGAGGCCAAUGCGGGGCUCCAUCUCACAGCCCUGAGAUCAUGACCUGAGCCGAGAUCAAGAGUCAGACGCUUAACCAACUGAGCCCCUAGGUCUACAUGCAUCUUUUAACAAAUAAAGCAGAUGUCUGUGCUGGAGGUAGACCUUUGAUUCUGGCCCACUGGUUUGUAGCUGUGGGUUUUCCUUCAUCUGUGAUACUGGGAGUACGUCAGCAGUUGUGGAAGCCAUAUGUUUUUAUAGGUCUGUGCCAAAGAAAAUACUUUAGAAUUACAUUAGCAACCCCAAGGUAUUUUGGCUGUUCUGAGAGGACACGUAGUUUUCCAGUUAUAUGAACAAGAGCUUUUGUUUCAUACGGAAGGUUCUUGUAGGCUACGAGAACAAUAAUGCCACUCAGCGUUUCCCAGAGUAACAUCCUUGGGAUGUUAAUAGGUAGGACAGAACUUCUGGGGCUGUUAACACGCCAAUGUGUACCAUGAAUCUCUUACAAGGGAGUGCAUUGUGCAGUAUUCCUCCAACCCUGUGUUUGGAAUACUACCCCCUAACCCUCCCCCCACCCCCAGCAUGCGUGUCCCCUCCUGCUCUCUGCCUCCCAGCCUCAGAUGUGGUUCCUUGCUCCCUGUAUGUGAACUCCCUUUACUGUUGGGAAAGAGGUGGCCUAGUCUCUGGACACUUGUCUGUGGAUCCUAAACUUAGUGAAGAAGUCAGGGAGUGGGUCUCUUUUGCUCUCUAUUGUCUUUAUAGCACCAGGCAUCUAGAAGGCCCUCAAUAAGUAUUUGUUGGAUGAAUGAAGGAACCACAGAAUGCUUUAUUUCCAAAUGGCAUCUCAUGGGACUGGUGUUCCCCAAAACCCACUUUGGGAACAGUGGAUGGGUCUGGGCUACCAUUCUACUCAUGGCACUUCCUUGUCAGUGUGAGUAACUAGGAUUCUCUAGCUCUUCCUAGUUCUACUUAAUUUACUCCAUGCAUCAGCUAGCAGGGAACCAUCAGUGUACUUAAAGAGGAGGCUCAGCACUUGAAAUAACUUGUCUCCAUGGCACACAAGUGAAUCGGCCAGGAUUAGAGCCUUCGUUUCCUGAGGCCUGUCUUAGGGCCCAUUCUCCCAGCAUUAGUGACAUACAUAGGGACUAGUGUUCCAGAUUGUUAGGGGAGGGAGAAAUCAGAUGCCCCUCUGUACACUAAUUCAUGCAGGCAGAACAAAGGUCCAGCUUGGUUUUCAAGUUCAAGUUUGGCUUAUACGUGGUCCUUGGUGAAGAUUAUGAUCUUGGGCAAAUUAAAAACAAAUGUUAAAUAAGUCAUAAUAAGGUAGAGAGGGAGUUCAGGAUUCUCAUUUUUAAACACAUGGGGGUAAACAGACCUCUCCUUAAGGCAGACGUUUGCCUCCCCUCCUCCACUUAACCUCUGUCUUCCAUAUUUGUGACUACUGUUCAUUUUUACGGGUAGGUGUGUACACAUGGUCUCGUGUCCAUAGAUACACAAGCCUUGUCUACCAAGCCCCUAGCUCUUCUGAACUGGGAAAAUAGAAGUUUCAUCAAAUCUGGUAACACAUCAAGUCCGAGGGAAGCACACAUGUGGCAAGCUGCCCUCUUCCUUAAGAAUAACCCACAGCUGCCCGCUGCCCCAAGGCGGCUUCCUUUUCCUCAAGUAUCUCAAGGUGAGUGUGCAGGGAGGCAGCACACAGAACCCCCUGUGUUCUGCUCGCCCAGGCCGAGUUCCUGAGUACACUUUGGACUAGACCUGGGGAGCUUGGCCUGGCAAGUUUUCGCAGUAAAUAGGACUCUGUAUGUGCAAGCCAAAUUAAGUCUGCAGGCAGUCUUUAUGAGCACAGUAACUGUUUCACAGAUGUAAAGACGCUCCAGAGUACUGUGUAUGUUUGUGGCCUCGGUCCCCGUAAAGUUGCCUUGAGCACAUUGCAAGGACUCUGUACCUGGAGAGAGGGUUCUCCUCUGUUCUCACUCUGCUUAGCUCUUCACUCUCAGAGUGGGCAUCCUAUUAUUCCAUGUGGGUGCUGAUAAACACCUUAAAAUGUAUAGGAUGGAUGGUUCCUCACAACAAAAGAUUAGGUUGCUCCAAUAUCCAUUGUGCUGCAGUUGAAAACCCCGGUGUACAGACACAUGUUAUGUACACACGUGAAAUAAACUGUGUGAAUGUGUCUGUGUGUGUGUUUUAAAAAGGGACCUCGGAGAUGAGAGUUGGAUUUUAGUGACGGUCGAAAGAAACCGAGCCCAGAGGGGUGGAGAGAGUUGCUGAUUUCAUGGAGCCUACUGAGAAACAUAGAAGGACUGGUCCUUGAGUCCCUCUUCUGUCUGAAUAGAGCUUUGUGCAGUGAUAACAGUUUUAUUCUUUGAGUGUUCUCUGUGUCCCAGAGAAGUAUUGCAUACAUUCACUCAUUUAAUCCUAAGAAUGACCCUGUGGGUACUGUGGUUUUUCCUGCUUCAUUCUAGAGGAAACCAGACUUGUCUGAGGGUACCUAGCAUUCCAAGGGGCAGGGACUGGCAGAGAACCCAGAUUUGUCCCGCUCCUGUUAAGUGGCCACCUCCCACUGGGCCACACGGAUGGCGUGCGUGAGCUUGAGGGACGUGACCUGAGCAGUGAAGACUGGGUGACCCAGGGAGUUCCUUCCAGGAGUUGCAUUCUAAAGCUGUGGUUUGGAAAUGGUCAACGGUGCCAGAGCUUUGUCUCUAAGAAGGCUUGAGCUGUAGAACAGAACCCUGAGCAGUGCUAAGGCCUCUGGCUGGAGAGCAGGAACGCCUGCACCGCCCGGGGGCAUGGGGAGGGUUUGGGGGGCUGAAAGGGGCGGAAUGGGAGAGACCCUGACUGGCUUUCCCCGCCUUCCGCUCCUUUCUCCCACCUUCCCUGCUCAGGGGACGUCCUGGGGUUAGUAGGACGUGAGGGGCAAUUAGUGGUAAUUACUCAUCAUUUGCGUAGACAGGAGCAUGGUUUUAGAGGUGCCUUCUGGGACGAGAGAGGCUGGGGACCUCCUGUCAGAACGUUGCAUGGAGGACCAAGAGGAAAGCAAACAUCCUGUGGGGAGGAAGGAAGGUACAGAGCCAGCCUCCUAGGGAGGUCAGCUGUAGAUACUCGCCGGUGUGAGUGAGGUGCUCUGAACCCACUGGUAGUGCAGGCGGGAGACGGGGCAGCAGCUGGGGGACGCCACACGAGGAACUGACCAGUGGACAGACUUCCGUUUCCUCCUGUGUCCCCUCUGCCGUGGGUGCUUUGGACCUAGGCCAGCCGCUCUCCUCUGGGACCCCCUCUAUGCUUUUGGGUUUGGUGUCCAGACUCCAUGUGAAGCCGGGCUCUUUUAGCACUUUAUAGAUGUAUUUUGUUGUGAGGAGGUAUGAGCCUGUUUAAAAAUAAUUUCUGACCAAACCUUUUACUGAGAGAGGUUUGGCGGCAGAGAGAAAACCCACCUUGUGAGCCCUAAGAAAAACCAUUGAGUUUUGAAUUGCCAAAAUCACUGUUGUUUGGGCCAGGAUAGUUCUGGGGGAUGGUAGUUUUCCCAUCUCCUUUUGGAAAAAAAAAAUUUCAGGGUUUCUCUUAUUGAUGUAUCUUUCAUCUGUGUGUUGUGCUUUAAUAAAAUGUUGCUAUGCCUCUCUGUAAGUGGAUAAUUGAGCAGAAGAGCAUGCUAAUUUAUCUCUCAGCCAGCCCUGUGGUGAGGCCUGCUUCUUUGGAGAUGGUCCAAAACCAAACAGCCUCAACUCACCUGCUGAAGGGCCCCCUGGCACCAAGAUAGGCCGGAACCCCCGGCACGCCGCGCUGUCUGUUAGGGUGUUCUCCGUCCCAACAAAGCUCUCUGUUAUUGGAGACCCGCGCCUUUAAAUCAGACUACAUUUCCCUCCCUGGUAUAGACCGUCUUCCCUCAGGCCAGUUUCUGUCUCCGCCUUGGCUGUGAGGAUGUGGAAGCACAAUCGGGCUUUGUGGUGAGGAGCGCUUUGCAGAGCUCGGGAAGGUGGGGUUCAGCCUUGUAUAAAUAAAUAACAGCAAGCGAGCUUCAGGAAAAGGGGAUUCCUGGAAUGAGAGAGACUGGCGCUCGAGACAGGAAACUCUUCCUGGGGUUUCUGCAGCCUCUGCAGCUUCUCCGAGGCUUGUUGUCCUGCCUGUGGCUUCUGGGCGGCCCUGGAGCCUGCUGUCCUCCUCCUGGAGCCUCCUGGACUCCCUCAGUGCCCUGGACCACCCGCCAACCUCCGGGAACCUGGCUUGAGCCCCUUUCGUGGUCCAAAGAGAUGUGCUUUGCCCCUUGUGAGGCUCAACUGCAGCCUUGGUCCCGGGCCUGCCCCGCUUGGCUUUUCUUCACUCCUUGCAUUUGGGUUAGUGAUGUCCUCUCCAGAAGGAGCCGGAGACAAGAAGGGCAUAGCUGGCUGCCUGCACUCUGGAAGACCCGUUCCGUACGAAGGGAGGCUCACGCAUUCCUUCUGUUUUCCAUAGCACUGCCUGAACUCUGACUGGUUUCUUUUUUUUCUUUUAUAAAAUAUAUAUCACUACACCCAGUGCGGGGCUUGAACCCACGAGAGUUCAAGAGUCGCACACUCUUCUGACUGAGCCAGCCAGGCACCUCCGUCUGGCUGGGUUGUGUGUAGGCCUUUUGACAUCAGAGAUGGGAAAAGCCCGGGAGAAAUUAAAGCUCAUAUUUAGGCCUUCUUUUUUUUUUUUUUUAAGAUUUUAUUUAUUUAUUUGACAGACACAGCGAGAAAGGGAACACAAGCAGGGGGAGUGGGAGAGGGAGAAGCAGGCUUCCCGCGGAGCAGGGAGCCCGAUGCAGGGCUCGAUCCCAGGACCCUGGGAUCAUGACCUGAGCUGAAGGCAGACACUUAAUGACUGAGCCACCCAGGCGCCCCCAGUUUCAUGCCCUGUAACGCAUAUAGACUCAUGCAGCCACCGCUGCAGUUGCAGGUCCCUAAAAACUGCUCAGGCUACCCUUUUGUGGUUUACCCUCCCAUCCCUCUUUGCCCUGGCAACCACUGCUCUGUUUCUAACACUCUUCCCAAAGAUUUGUUGGCCACAUUAUGUGCAUCUUACUAGGAAUUUCACUGCCUACCGGUGUAAGAGAAAAACAUGAAAAUCAAGUCCGCUCUCUGGAAAGCCUCCCACCUUUCUUUGCCCUUUAUUCUGACUGCACUGACUCUGCCACCUACCAGCGCUCCUCCAGUAUGGACAAGCCAGCGUUAACCCAUCCUGCCUCCUCCCCACCUGCCUCAGCCGUGUCUGCCGCAUGACAUUUUUAUCUGUUCCAUCCCUGUGUUCCGGCUUACGGUAAACACUUCUCUUAGCCCAGUGCUUCAAAACUGUGUGUGAUAAGAAGACACAGAUGCAUUCAAAGUGUUAAAGGAAUGCUGUCAAUAAUAACAACCCUAAGCUAGAGACUGCCCAAGGAAGAAAGAGGAGUUUGAAAAAACGAACACAGGAAACUCUUAACAGUGGAUUUGAGCCCAUCUUUUAUUUUUGAAGUCUUGGUACAUCUUAAGAAAGUUAAGAGGCUUAAUUUUGUUCCUGAGGAUCAUUUACAAACAGCAUCGAGAACCCACAGCUCAUUGCUGUUGAAUCGGUGUAGGACAGGGGUGGUUGUCCAGGUCUGUCUGGCCUCUCGUUGCAGGUAUGGAAGACUUAGGACCAGACAUGUGAUCCAUCAGCGCACAGCCGUGAAUGCCCCUGCUGGGCUAGCUUUGGGGAAUAUGCCAGUGUCCUUCUAGCAAAGACUUUGCCAUCCACUUGGCUCACAAAAAAUCUACUUCCUCAGCCUGCCCAAGCGCCCCCGGAGCGCUGUAACAGCUUCACCCCAUGAGAGACUUUUCCCAUUAAAUCAGGUGUUGACGUCAGUGUCCCGGCUACGUUGCAGGUGCCCAAUAUCCUGGUGAAAUUUCAGAUUCUUAGAUACUUGGGAGGCUUGAAUGAACUCAGGGUAUUUUUUAGCAUGCAUAAAGUCUGUAAAAUGGGAUUUGGAUGUUUGGGUUUUGGUGCCAGAAUUUGAUUGGCCCUUGUGGGAGGGGCACAGACAUGGGGAGAAGCUGAGCUGUAAGCGAGGGGAGGUGCCCCUGGGGGGGUGAGUCCCCUGAGCUCCAGGCCCUCCCUCGGGCCCCGGGGGCUUGCCCUUCCCACCUCCUGGCCGCAGAUGGCUCCCGUCAGAGGAAGGGAAUGACUUGUGUGUGCUGAGGCUGGUCCCCUGUGGUGGUGGUCUUCAGCCUGGGGAGCCCGGUUAACAUGUGAAGCACUCAGGCCAUAACAGGAAGCCCCUGUUUGUGCUCUUGAACAUAUUGUGUCUCUGUGCAAGGGUGAGAACGAUUUUCCACACUGUGGGCCCAAGACUGGCGGCUCCUUAGCCAGGUUGGUGUCUAGACCCUGGCCUGAGAGGAGCCAGAGCUGGGCCUGGCUGCAUCCUUAUAGGAACUCAAGCUCCCGGUGGCCAGGCCGAGCCUGGGCUGGGAGUCAGGUGAGCAGUCCUAGGUGGGAGCCAGAGGCCGAGGGUCUCACAGGUAGGCCCCACAAGGCAAGCCAGUGGUGGGCCAUAGUCCUGGCGGACUGCCCUCAGAAACAGAAGUUUGGAGAUCACAGCUUUGAGAUAGCCCCAAAGGUUGAGAAUUACUGGCCCAUCAGAACUCCCUGGAGGCCCCCUCCCCCCCCUUUUUUUGAAAGGACACAUGCCUGACCCAUGUGCCCAGAAUCUCUAGAUCUUGGGACCCUGGCACUUGUAUUUAUUAAAAGCUCCCCUUUAAACGGUGGUGCAUAGCUGGGUUGAGACCCCCCUGCCUCGGGCAGUGGUAGGGUCUGCAGGCUGCUCUGUGGCUACAGACGGAAGGCAGCCCCAGCAGGAAAGUCGGAGAGCAACAAAGUCGGGCCCUGCCUUACCUCAGCCGGGCUACCCCUUGUUACCUACCGGAUUCCCAAACCAGUGCUAUUCAUGUGUGCUUGGUCUCUGCACGGCUUUGUCUCCUCUGCAUCUAACUAAACUAAAAUCAUCUCAGUUCAUGGACCAAGCCUCCCCGUGCUCUUCUGUUCUCACAGAAGACAUUCUGGUUUCUCCUUUAAGAUGAUCUCUGGGGGCACUUUCUGUUUCCGUGGGGGUGGCUUGCCCUCCUCACUUGUGGCACUCCUCACUUCAAUAGCUGUCAGCUUGUUUCUGGAUCCUUUUUUGAGUUCCUGGCGUGUAGGAACUUCCUAACCAAAUCUUAUUAAAUUGAUGUUUUAAUGAAAGGCAUUUUUAACUCCCUUCCCUCUCUGCCACCACCCCCCCUGUUUAUCAGAAUUACUCCUCCACUCAUACCCAAUAAAGGCCGCCAUAGACUGGACCUGUAAGAAACCAGACCCGAGGCCAGCCCCAGCACGCUCCUGAGAACCACUAAGAUAAACACAAAAUGCACUCUCGCCGAAUUCUGAGAAGGAAAGGCCCUCAAAGGUCAUAGGGUCCAGUGGCUCUCAACCCUGGCUGCACAUUAGAAUCAUCUGGGGAGCUUUUAAAAAAUGUUCAUGCCCAGCCCCCACCCCCUGAGAUUUUGAUUCAGUUGGUCUGGGGUGGGGCUCAAGCUUGCGUGGAAUUUUCUUAAAAGCUCCCCAGGGGCUUCUACUAUGCAGCCAAGUUUGUAAACCACUGCCCUAGGCCAAAACUCCUCACAGGAUAUUUGAAUGAAAGGAUUACAAAGAUCCCUGCCUGCUGAGGGGGUAGCCCCCCAGUAAGUCCGGGGCUGGUGAGAGAGUCACCAACAGUGCACUCCUGGAUUCCCUAAGCCCCUUCCAUCCUCCAGUCUUAGCCUCCAAAAGACUGGGCCUUGGACCAUCCCUCCUUCCCAGAGACCAGAAGCAGACUCUGAAUAGAAUCUAAUUUUAAACCGAUGAGUGGAACCAGAAGGAGACGUGGUUUGAUGGGCUCUGAAUUAAGAUCUCCUUUUCCCAGGCCAUAUAUUUGACUUCAUAUAUUGUAUUAGUUCGCUAGGGCUGCCAUAACACAGGACCCCAGAGUGGGUGGCUGACCCAACAGAAAUGUGCUCCCUCCCAGUUCUGGAGCCUGGGAGUCUGAAAUCAAGGUGUCAGAGGGUCGGUUCCCUCUGGGGGCUGUGAGGGGAGGCUCUGCUCCGGCCUCUCUCCUUGGCUCUCAGAUGGCUGUCUUCUCUUCUGUGUCUCUUCACAUUGUCUUCUCUCUGUGUGUGUCUGUCCAAAUUUCUCCCUUUUGUAAGGACACCGGUCCUAUUGGAUUGGGGCCCACCCUACUGACUUCAUUUUAACUUGAUUCCCUCAGUGAAGACCCAUCUAAGGUUCCAUUCUGAGGUACUGGGCGGGGUGGGGUGAGGACUUCGGCAUAUCUUUUUGGAGACCUGUACAAUUCAGCCUGUAACUAUUAUCAUCUAAGCUUUCUCCCUUAACUACAGCUUUUAAUGGGUAGACCCGCGUAUUUUUCUUUACACCCUUACAUUGCUCAGAGCGCAGAGCUCCGGGGCUGGUUGAUUAUCAGCAUUCAGCACUAAUUUCCUGACAAACUGACUUCUGUUCUCCUGGUCCUGGGUACACUUGGAGGAUGAUGGUUUACGUUCAGGCUCCCCCAGCGAUGGGUAGAAUUCCUCUAAUUUCCUCACAGUGGCAGGAGCUGCUGAGGGCCUGAAAGGAGAGGUGAGCUAUGAGGGGCGGGCCUCCCCGGCCCCAGAUAAAGGCAAGUCACAUGCUGAUGUUCCCCCUUGGUUUGAGUGGAUGCAUUUAUUUAUUUUAUUUUAUUUUAAAGAUUUUAUUUAUUUAUUUGACACACACAGAGAGAGCACAAGCAGGGGGAGCGGCAGGCAGAGGGAGAAGCAGACUCCCCGCUGAGCAGGGAGCCAGAUGCGGGACUCGACCCCAGGACCCUGGGAUCAUGACCUCAGCCAAAGGCAGACGCUCAACCGACUGAGCCACCCAGGCGCCCAAGUGGAUGCAUUUAGGCUCUGGAGGAGAGGGCCCAUGUUGGGCGAUGGUGGUUCUUUGGAAGGUGCAGACAUUAUCAUUGGUAACCAGGUUAGGGAGUCGUGACAAGGGUGUGAAGAAGAGGCAGUGUUUCAUUCCCGUGGAAGUUCUUUGUCAGCUGCUUACUCUAGAGGCCGUUCUUCCACAGACAGAAUUCAGGCAGGCUCCAAACACUUGGAUGGAGAAAAAUCACACUUCAUUCUCACCAGCUGAAAAAUUGCAUUUCCUUCAAUUAUGAAUGGAGACAAGAAACCAUAGUGACAUUAGCCGUACCUGUGACCACCACCAGUAGGAACUGCGGGGAUUUUUUUCCAAUCUGUUGGAGUCAUUGUCGAUAUUUCUCUAAGUUUCGUUAGCCUCGUCACUGCUUCAGAAUUGAGGUGGUUAUGAGACUCACGGCUAGGUCUUAUUUAAUAUGUUAAUUAAAUAUUACCACAGCAAAAAUUUUUUAAAUAUUUUGAUAACUGCAAUUUACCAUAAUUGGCUUCCUUUGGAAUGCUAUGGAUUUAAUUUGUGCAUUUAACGCCAUUCUGUGGAAGGUCUGCAGGCUUCCCCAGGCUGCCAAGGGGGUGGUGGUGGGGGGGAUGUCUGUGGCAUUAAAGAGGUUAAGAAGCCUUGGUUUGUGUUUGUAAUAACCACUUCCUGUCCCCAUUCGGUGGGUAAAUCCUAUCAAUGGAGAUAAUUCUAGAUCGCAGUCUUGACAAUCACUGAUUUAGUUGAUGUUUAUAUCCUUUAUUUUUGGCUCCUUGGAGCUAAGCCCUGUGUGCAUGUGCACUCACAUGGACUUGGAUUUGUCUUCUUUUUAAAGAUGACAAGGAUUAGGGAAACAUUUUAGAACAAGCCCAGCUUUAAAUAUGCCCUCCAGUGCUGUUGGGUCCUGCUUGGGAAAGCUGUUCUCUGUCUCUGCCAGUAAGUCUCCUGUGAGUGGGGCUGAGAGGGACUUUUGGCAAAAUAACCACCUACUCCUCCCAGAGCCCAGUGCACUGGGACGUGCUCUUCUUGGUCACUCUGGAAAUGUGCAAGCCUCACACCAGUGCUUGAGCUGCCCGUGUUGGACCUGAAAGCUGGGCUCACAGAACCAGUUCCAGGUGGCCUGGGAAGAUGUUGAGGGUGCCAGCUCCCAGGUCCUGGUGGCUGUGAAAUGAUUUGAUUGUAGAUGAUUAGGUUUAUGGGGGUUUCUGUGGGGUUUUGUUUUUUACUUUCCUUUUGAAAUAAUUAGACUCACAGGUAGUUGUAAAAAUAGUACAUAAGAGUACUGGGAUCUCUCCCCCCAAGUUUCCGCCAGUGGAGACAUUUUCUAUAGCUCAAGAUCAAAAUCAGGUCAUUGACAAUGGUAUGUUACUGUGACCGCUAACUGGUUUACAGGCCUUAAUCAGUUCUCGCCGUUUUCUCAUGCCUUCACUUAUGUGUGUUGUUUGUACAGUUCUUGCUGUUUUUUUUUUUUUUUUUUUAAGAUUUUAUUUAUUUAUUUGAGAAAGAGAGAAUGAGAGAGAGAAAGCACAUGAGAGGGGGGAGGGUUGGAGGGAGAAGCAGACUCUGCCGAGCAGGGAGCCCGAUGCCGGACUCGAUCCCGGGACUCCAGGAUCAUGACCUGAGCCGAAGGCAGUCGCUUAACCAACUGAGCCACCCAGGCGCCCUAGUUCUUGCUGUUUUAUCCCAUGCAUGGGUUUGUGUAACCACCCCCACAAUCACAGUACAAAACCGUUUACAGAACAUAUUUAUAAACUUAGUUGUGAGGCACAUAGUGUAGUGAGUUAUUACCAGUUUUGUUAAUCAAAGCACUGCCCAUCUGCCUCGAGGCUGGAGGUAUUAAUUUGAUGUGUCUGCAGGCCUGUGAGCAUUUGGACCCCUUGUGUGUGCAUCUCCAAGGUCCGAUCUAGACCUGGACCCCAUGCAGUGGCAGUCUUGGGUGGCGGUGGUGCUUGUGAUCCAUAGGCACGGCAUUCUGCGUCCGGGGUUUGGGAUCAGGGUGUUUCUCUGAGCUGGAGAGCAGGAGUAAAGCAAGACAGAGUUGGGGAACAAGGGCAGCGUCCAACUCUUGGGGGUCCAGAGCCUCACAGGGGUGAGAGGACAGUUAGGGAAUAAGGAGACGCCCUGGCCAGGCCUGGGCAGACCUGGUGGGGGAUGUAAGGAAAGGUCAUCUUUUGGUGGGCAUGGAGGUCCCCGGGGGCCUUGCUUGUCCUUCCCUGCAUCCCUGAGUUGACUGUGCUGCUGGGCCUGGCUUCCAGAUGCAAGAUAGGAAUCAUAGUUGCUCCACGGCCUUGCUCAUCUGAGGUCUGAUUACCAUGGUAGGUAAUGGUAUAAUGGUAGGUACCAUUUAGAAAUUCCAGGGCAGGGCGCCUGGGUGGCUCAGUUGGUUGAGCGACUGCCUUCGGCUCGGGUCAUGAUCCCAGGGUCCUGGGAUCGAGUCCCGCAUUGGGCUCCCUGCUCUGCGGGGAGCCUGCUUCUCCCUCUCCCACUCCCCCUGCUUGUGUUCCCUCUCUCGCUGUGUCUCUCUCUGUCAAAUAAAUAAAUAAAAUCUUAAAAAAAAAAAAAAAAGAAAUUCCAGGGCACCCUCAAAACUAUGGUGGUAACUUUCUCCCAAAUCCAUGUGUUGAUUGUGUCUUUGGCACCUCUCCGUUUACCAGGACAUCUGAUUAAAUGGAACACUUCGUUCUCUAACCACGUAGGAUAACGGCGCUUACUGUAUCUGGGUUUAUGGUUUUAGCCAUUUGGGGAUGCUGGUGCACAAUUAUCUGUUUUUAUUUUUUUGUUGGCGGCUCUUUCCUGUUUCUUUGGUUAAGGUUUUCAGCUAAGUACUUAACCUUUAUAGUCAGAGAUAACACUCUGGUCCACACCUGCAGUCACGCACCCCACUGCCCUUUUCUCUUGGCUGAAGCCAGCGACGUGGGGCUGCCAGGUGGUAAGAACUAGUAGCUGGUACAUGACCAGCCCCCAUAAGCCAGUGCGGGGACGCUAGGCUGAGAUACAGAGGGGCACGGGGAAGGAUGGUUUGAUUAGGUAGGCCCACCCUAGUCCCUGCAGGGGCUCGUUAACCCAAGUAGAUGUGGGGCCGGUGCCGGGGAAUUGGGGUGCCUGAGUGCUGCCAAGUAUGAGCACCAUCCACUGGCUGUCUGGGUGUAGACAAGACUUAGGAGCAACAACCCUGGCCCAGGCAGGUUAUCAGAGGAAGGCCUCAAACCCAUUUGUAAAUAUACUUUUAAAAAAAAUUAUGUAUUUAUUUUAGAAAGAGAGAGUGAGCAUGCGUGCACACGAGCAGGAGGGGAAGAGGGUAAAGGAGAGAGAAUCUCAAGCAGACUCUUUACUGAGCACGGAGCCCGACUUGGGGCUCAAUCCCAUGACCCUGAGAUCAUGACCUGAACCAAAACCAAGAGUCAGACGCUUAACCGACUGCACCACCUAGGUGCCCCUGUGAUACGCUUCUUGAAACUAAGCUUGUGGCAGGAGGCCAAGGUUGCCACCAUCCCAGGACAGAAAUCGAAUUGAGCUAACAUCCCACCUCCAUUUCCUUCACUCACCUUACCCUGCCCAUUCCUAUCAGUUCCAUCUUCUAAAGACACCGUCACUUUGUGACUUCAUUUCUGGGAAAGCGGCUUCACACACCGAGUCUGAACUUCCCUGACUGAUUCUCCAGGUCUCUCCUGUCUGACCUCACCCAGUUGGAUCAGCCUCACUUCUGACCAGUCCCAAACCCUACCCCUUCCCCACACUUCACGUGCUUCUCCUUCCCUUCCAGAUGCCAUCCCAUGACAUUCAGUCCCUUUUCUAACAAUAUUGGCUUUGAUGACCUGAGCUCCAGAGGAGUCUGCUGUCACAUUUCCCCCAUGUACCUCAUAGUCCAACACACUUGCUUUGUGUUACGUCACUGUAUUGCCUUAUGACUUCUGUGUUUUUAUCCAUAUAUCUAUAUGUGAUGCAUGAACAAGACAAAGCCUAUUGUGUUGUUCUCUGGUUGUUUUUGUGCUUAGGCUUUCUCUCUGACUAGGGGAGGACAGGACCCCCGUGCGAUAGUUUUGGUCUGCCCUGGGCACCCAAUGCACACCCAGUGUGCAUUCUCCAUCAGUGCUUGUUGAGUGAGGGAUGCAGUCGACUCCCAUCAUGAAGUGCCAGACGGCUCCGGUCUGGGUCCUUAUUCUGUAGGCUCUUCCAAAGCAGACUGGGGUCUGUAACUACAGGCUCCCUGUUUAGUAGUCGUUAGGCUGGAAUGCAAGGGGCUGGCAAUCAGAAUAUUUUAGCGAAUGGCUCGGUUGUACUUGAGCCUGAGAUAGUUAAACUCGCUUUGAGAUAACUGAAAGAUCAGAAUUGAGAAAAAAGAACAAUAUUUUCUUGUAAUUAAAAAUUGAGGUAGGGAUGCCUGGGUGGCUCAGUUGGUUAAGCAUCAGGCUCCUUGCUCAGCCGGGGAGCCCGCUUCUGCCUCUCUCUGCCACUCCCCCUGCUUGUGCUCUCUCUCCAAGUUCUCUCGCUCUCUGACAAAUAAAGUCUUUAAAAAACAAAAAGUUGAGGUAGCUGAAACCUUUCUGCACACUUGAGCCUGGCAAGGUCUAUUUGAAAGGUAAGUAUCUCGGAGGGAGGAAGAUGAGGUCCUAAGGGCCAACUGUUAGCUAACUCUCGGGGAGGGCUCCCUUAGCCCAGCAAGUGGAGAUGCUCUGGACCGCUUUCCCUGCAGUGUGGAGACAUGAGCUGGCUCUCCUCUCCUGUGCCGUCUUAGGGUCGGGGCAGAGACCAUGCAUUUCUUAGGUGGGCCUCAUUUUCAGAAGCAUCAAGCCUGGCAUUUUCAACAAAGUGAGCAAUCCCUGCCUAUAGGAAUAAGUCAGUUUGGGCAGGAGGGGGCAUGUCCUAUGUUUUCAUCAAAAGAAAAUUGAGCAGUAGAGAAAAUAGAGAUAAAACGAUUUUAAGGAGCAAGUAACCCUCCCUGCUCAUGGUGUAGAGCACCAAAUCACAGGGUGUUCCCGGCUGCCAUUACCCUGCUCUGAUACAAGCCAGAAUUUCCAGUUAUAUUCAGUAGCUCCUUUUUGGGUCACUUUUGCCCCUGCUUUCCUGCUGCUAUUCAAAGACUUCCCUUAUUGUAAAGGGCGAGAGUCCUCUCUGAUUCUUCUUAACCUCUCUGCUAAUUCGAGCAGCUUCUCUCUCAUACAAACUUAGGACUGAACAUCUCAGGAAAGAAAAACAGGGCCCAGGAAACUCACCCAGAGUGGAGUUUGAAAAUUAGUUUUUCCCACCUGCGCAGGAAGCCAGCACCAGUCGGUGUGAAAGGACUCUCUCUUCUCUCCCCUUUAGUCACUCCCAGAGUGGAGCCUCGGCAGGAGGAUGGGCAGGCAGCCUGUGGACAGAAUUCCCUUGACUUUUCCUGCCUAGGAACAUCUUAGGAAAAUGCACUCCUUGAAAUUUUUUAUUUGCACCUGCCGAAAACAUAGCAAGGCAGUGGUUUUUCACACUCUGGGGAAGGAUUGUGUAGGAAUGAUGUGCAGUGGGCGGGGGGA
Molecule: long non-coding RNA, 19837 nt
Organism: Mirounga angustirostris (Northern elephant seal)
Lineage: Eukaryota; Metazoa; Chordata; Mammalia; Carnivora; Phocidae
Exons: 2
Source: RefSeq, a predicted model, not a curated record